Molecule: small nuclear RNA, 104 nt
Filed under: Marchantia polymorpha subsp. ruderalis
Lineage: Eukaryota; Viridiplantae; Streptophyta; Marchantiopsida; Marchantiales; Marchantiaceae
Source: RNAcentral
CUGCCUCUCCGGGUACAUCCGAUAAAAUUCGAACGAUGCAGAGAAGAUUAGCAUGGCCUGUGCGCAUUAACAACGUACUAAUAUAAAAAAUUAAGCCACAGAAU